RNAcentral lists this ribosomal RNA (604 nucleotides) under uncultured Actinomycetes bacterium. Its description in RNAcentral is "bacterial SSU rRNA". It matches the Rfam family "Bacterial small subunit ribosomal RNA", at positions 252 to 866 of the family's 1533-position model. Lineage: Bacteria; Bacillati; Actinomycetota; Actinomycetes. The record is from RNAcentral.
GUGGGGUAAUGGCCCACCAAGGCGACGACGGGUAGCCGGCCUGAGAGGGCGACCGGCCACACUGGGACUGAGACACGGCCCAGACUCCUACGGGAGGCAGCAGUGGGGAAUAUUGCGCAAUGGGCGAAAGCCUGACGCAGCGACGCCGCGUGAGGGACGAAGGCCUUCGGGUUGUAAACCUCUUUCAGCAGGGACGAAGCGAAAGUGAUGGUACCUGCAGAAGAAGCACCGGCCAACUACGUGCCAGCAGCCGCGGUAAUACGUAGGGUGCAAGCGUUGUCCGGAAUUAUUGGGCGUAAAGAGCUCGUAGGCGGUUUGUCACGUCGGAUGUGAAACCCUGAGGCUCAACCUCAGGCCUGCAUUCGAUACGGGCAGACUAGAGUACUGUAGGGGAGACUGGAAUUCCUGGUGUAGCGGUGAAAUGCGCAGAUAUCAGGAGGAACACCGGUGGCGAAGGCGGGUCUCUGGGCAGUAACUGACGCUGAGGAGCGAAAGCGUGGGGAGCGAACAGGAUUAGAUACCCUGGUAGUCCACGCCGUAAACGGUGGGUGCUAGGUGUAGGUCGUAUUCCACGCGAUCUGUGCCGCAGCUAACGCAUUAAGCA